Molecule: small RNA, 27 nt
Filed under: Bombyx mori (domestic silkworm)
Lineage: Eukaryota; Metazoa; Arthropoda; Insecta; Lepidoptera; Bombycidae
Description: ovarian small RNA-18079
Source: RNAcentral
UAAAAUGUUACACAAUGCCUCUAAGUC